CGGUGUCGCUUUCUUGGACGUUUCCUCCCUAAACUCGGCGGCGGCCUCUGGUCGCCGCCCUUUUUUUGUGCGGG
This 74-nucleotide small RNA is filed under the name Muricoccus pecuniae. Its description in RNAcentral is "Roseomonas sp. N75 Makes More Granules Regulator RNA (mmgR)". It matches the Rfam family "Makes More Granules Regulator RNA (mmgR)". From Rfam's summary of the family: SuhB later renamed mmgR (makes more granules regulator) was a putative non-coding RNA found multiple times in the Agrobacterium tumefaciens genome and related alpha-proteobacteria. Other non-coding RNAs uncovered in the same analysis include: speF, ybhL, metA, and serC. Lineage: Bacteria; Pseudomonadati; Pseudomonadota; Alphaproteobacteria; Acetobacterales; Roseomonadaceae. The record is from Rfam by way of RNAcentral.